RNAcentral lists this long non-coding RNA (2022 nucleotides) under Marmota monax (woodchuck). Lineage: Eukaryota; Metazoa; Chordata; Mammalia; Rodentia; Sciuridae. The record is from RNAcentral.
CUUACAUUUAACAUUUUUAAAUAUAUCAUUAUUUUAAACACACAUCAUUAUUUUAAUUAUAUCCAAUUAAAUAUACCUGCAUCUCCUCAGCAUGCAUCAUUAUGUACUUUACUAAAAAGCACUUUGAAUCAAAUUGCAUACCAAGGUUCUUUAUUAUAAUUUAUGUGCACAAGUCUGCAGCAGAGUCACACAUUUUGGAGAUUAAUUAUCAAGAAGUUUGUUUAGACUUUUGGCAAAUGAGAAACUUAACCUGAAUUUCAGUUUACUUUCAUAUUUAUAAUUUCAUGAUAUCAUUGUCCUAUCAGGCACCAUUGUGUUUUUCUGUCUGAGGAGAGUACAGACAAAGACUAGAAGUUAUUUUGGCUUGCCCCAGUCAUUUGUGCCCAGGUCUUUACAUUAUUUAUCUCUUUUGUGUAUUCUUCCAAAUAAUGGUCUCCAAAUUUCCCAUGAUUCAGUCUCAAUCUCAUGGAAAUAAUAUUGCUAGGUUACAGGAACAAAGCUCAUAGUGAUUGCUUUUAUCUCCAUUUGGAAGAUUUUAGUUUCUUUUUCCCAUGGAUCUAUAACCUCUUAUAUUUGUUUUUGUAUCACUGAGGCAUAAGAAAUUCUUAUUACUGGUAUUUGACAAAUGAUGCAAUAUGCAAAGAUUUUUAAACUAGAAUUGGACCUAUAGUAUUUGUGUUCUAGGAAGCUUUCUGCCACUGGUUGCCAUCCCAUCUCCAUGGCUAUUUACAAAAAAACUGAUCUGAAUAAACUAAAAGUGAAGACCUAAUUUUUACCAUUUAUUAUAGGCAAUCAGGUGGUCCAGUUUAAUACUUACCUUUAAUUUUUUUUUUUUAGUUGUAGAUGGACACAAUACCUUUAUUUCAUUUAUUUUUAUGUGGUACUGAGCAUCGAACCUCUUGCCUCACAUAUACCAGACGAGCUCUCUACCACUGAGCCACAACCCCAGCCCUAAUACUGAUAUCUUGACUGCUCCUAUAUCCUAGAUCCUAAAUCCUUGGAUUGACUCUGUGACUUACAUCCUUAACUGUCCUCUCUGUUCUUGGCACAUUUUCUCACUUCCUCCAAUAUUUGAACAGAAGUGUUUCUUUUUCUUUUUUUUUUUUUUUAACUCAGGGGCUCUUGACCAUUGAGCCACAUCCUCAAUCCUAUUUUUUGUAUUUUAUUUAGAGACAGGAUCUCACUGAGUUGCUUAGUGCCUUGCUUUUACUGAGGCUGGCUUGGAAUGUGGGAUCUUCCUGCCUUGGCCUCCUGAGCCACUGGAAUUAUUACAGGUGUGUGGCACUGUGCCCAACCAGAAGUGUUUCUUAUGUAGUUUCUGGAUUGACUUAUUUCUCAGAACCUGGUAUCCCUUGUUUUCUCAAGGGAGGAUGGCUAUUUUCAGAGCAACUCUAUGCUUGUCUCCUCAUAUGCCUCUUCAGAUGGAGGUUAGAAAUUGAAAAUUGGGUAAAUCUUGACCUGGAGUAUAUCAGAUUUUCUAGUCUCAGUUUCAUCAUUUAUACAUGUCAAUCUGGGCUUCUGUAACAAAAUAUUACAAACUGGGUGACUUAUAAACUAUAGAAAUUUAUUUCUGAACAGUUCAGGAGGCUGGGAAGUCAUUGGAGGCUGAGAAGUCACAGACAAAACAUUGGUAGUUUGGUGUAUGGUGAGAGCCCAUAUUCAGGUUUAUAGUUGCUAUCCUCUUGUGUCCUCACAUGGCAGAAGAGGUAAGAGAGCUUUCUGAGAUCUCUUUUAAAAUGGCAAUGAUCCCUCUUAAGAGGGCUCCCUCUCAUGACCAAAUCAUCUCCCAGAAGCUCCCCUCCUAAUACUAUUGCAUUGAGGAAUUGGGGGCAGGGGAUGGAGACAGGGGCUAAACAUGCAAUGUAUAGCAUUACAACUGAGGGAUUUUUACCAGUCAUCUCUAGUGUCCUUUCACUGUUAACAUUACUUUAAUAUUACACAAUUAAUGUAUUACUAUAUUCACAUUGUAAAAGUUUUAGAUAGUAUGUGAGUGUACAGAAAAUGGCUGUAGAGUCCCCUCAG